Molecule: transfer RNA, 72 nt
Filed under: Gordonia otitidis NBRC 100426
Lineage: Bacteria; Bacillati; Actinomycetota; Actinomycetes; Mycobacteriales; Gordoniaceae
Description: tRNA-Gln
Rfam family: tRNA
About the family: Transfer RNA (tRNA) molecules are approximately 80 nucleotides in length. Their secondary structure includes four short double-helical elements and three loops (D, anti-codon, and T loops). Further hydrogen bonds mediate the characteristic L-shaped molecular structure. tRNAs have two regions of fundamental functional importance: the anti-codon, which is responsible for specific mRNA codon recognition, and the 3' end, to which the tRNAs corresponding amino acid is attached (by aminoacyl-tRNA synthetases). tRNAs cope with the degeneracy of the genetic code in two manners: having more than one tRNA (with a specific anti-codon) for a particular amino acid; and 'wobble' base-pairing, i.e. permitting non-standard base-pairing at the 3rd anti-codon position.
Source: RNAcentral
UGGGCUGUAGUGUAAUCGGCAACACGGCGGAUCUUGGUUCCGCAGUUUCAGGUUCGAGUCCUGGCAGCCCAG